AAUGAGGAGCCUGAUUAAAGGGCUAUCUUGAUAGGAUAGAUUAUGUAAAUUUCAUUUACUCUCAUUA
RNAcentral lists this transfer RNA (67 nucleotides) under Caroperla siveci. RNAcentral describes it as "tRNA-Ile". The record is from RNAcentral. Lineage: Eukaryota; Metazoa; Arthropoda; Insecta; Plecoptera; Perlidae.